GGCUCAGAACGAACGCUGGCGGCAGGCUUAACACAUGCAAGUCGAACGCCCCGCAAGGGGAGUGGCAGACGGGUGAGUAACGCGUGGGAAUCUACCGUGCCCUGCGGAAUAGCUCCGGGAAACUGGAAUUAAUACCGCAUACGCCCUACGGGGGAAAGAUUUAUCGGGGUAUGAUGAGCCCGCGUUGGAUUAGCUAGUUGGUGGGGUAAAGGCCUACCAAGGCGACGAUCCAUAGCUGGUCUGAGAGGAUGAUCAGCCACAUUGGGACUGAGACACGGCCCAAACUCCUACGGGAGGCAGCAGUGGGGAAUAUUGGACAAUGGGCGCAAGCCUGAUCCAGCCAUGCCGCGUGAGUGAUGAAGGCCUUAGGGUUGUAAAGCUCUUCACCGGAGAAGAUAAUGAC
This 403-nucleotide ribosomal RNA is filed under the name Agrobacterium sp. IGS116. RNAcentral's name for it is "bacterial SSU rRNA". It matches the Rfam family "Bacterial small subunit ribosomal RNA", at positions 21 to 455 of the family's 1533-position model. The record is from RNAcentral. Lineage: Bacteria; Pseudomonadati; Pseudomonadota; Alphaproteobacteria; Hyphomicrobiales; Rhizobiaceae.